UGCUUCUUGCAAAAAAAGUACUCUGUCUGACGUUGAUCAACCUUAAACUUGGAUUUUUGGGACUGACUCCCAGCACCAGGCACCUUCUUAUUUUUUUUCUUUUUUUCUUUCUUAAAAGGAUGACAACUACCUGAAGAAGGUCCUCCCACUAGAUUCACUGUCUCCUUGUGGAGCUGGUGGUCUUUCUCAAAAUUCUGUAGCAACCCCAACAGAUCGUGGUAGUUGACUACAGGCUUCAUCAUUCUGAAAUGACUGAGGAAUAGUAGGUAGGACUUGAAAAGAGAGUUCAGGAUCGCAUCUUUUCCCAGCUAUUCAUGCAAAGGAAAGUCGAGUUUGUUCAAUUUUUCAAUCUGCUCGAUCAUGUACAAUACAUAAUCGGUAACAGAUACACCCUCCCUCAUUCGGACAUUGAAAAUGAUGCAACUAGUCUUGUGUCGCUCAACGUCAUCAGGAGUAUCAAAGGAAUCUCUCAACACUUUAAAGCAUUUUCUCUGGUUGAGCUUCUUCAAACUUUUUGCUGAACUCAUCAUUCAUGGAGGUCCACAUGAUGCAACGAACCAUGGUGCGAUCGUUAAGCCAUUUCAAAUAAGUAUCUCAGACCACUCCUCGGAUAUUAGGAGCAGACUCCUCAAGGCCGGAUCCGUUAUCACAUAAAGGAUCCGCUCAUGCUCCAGGACAAUCUUUAAUUUUCGAUACCAAUUAUCGAAAUUCGAUCCAAUAAGCUUCUCACUAUCCAACAGUGAUCAGAGUGACAAGUUUGAGGUCAUA
This 768-nucleotide long non-coding RNA is filed under the name Elaeis guineensis (African oil palm). RNAcentral describes it as "long non-coding RNA (EGUI_LNC080704)". The record is from RNAcentral. Lineage: Eukaryota; Viridiplantae; Streptophyta; Magnoliopsida; Arecales; Arecaceae.